Molecule: ribosomal RNA, 729 nt
Filed under: uncultured Achromobacter sp.
Lineage: Bacteria; Pseudomonadati; Pseudomonadota; Betaproteobacteria; Burkholderiales; Alcaligenaceae
Description: bacterial SSU rRNA
Rfam family: Bacterial small subunit ribosomal RNA
Source: RNAcentral
AACCGGAUUAGAUACCCUGGUUCGUUCCACGCCCUAAACGAUGUUCAACUAGCUUGUUGGGGCCUUCGGGCCUUGGUAGCGCAGCUAACGCGUGAAGUUGACCGCCUGGGGAGUACGGUCGCAAGAUUAAAACUCAAAGGAAUUGACGGGGACCCGCACAAGCGGUGGAUGAUGUGGAUUAAUUCGAUGCAACGCGAAAAACCUUACCUACCCUUGACAUGUCUGGAAUGCCGAAGAGAUUUGGCAGUGCUCGCAAGAGAACCGGAACACAGGUGCUGCAUGGCUGUCGUCAGCUCGUGUCGUGAGAUGUUGGGUUAAGUCCCGCAACGAGCGCAACCCUUGUCAUUAGUUGCUACGAAAGGGCACUCUAAUGAGACUGCCGGUGACAAACCGGAGGAAGGUGGGGAUGACGUCAAGUCCUCAUGGCCCUUAUGGGUAGGGCUUCACACGUCAUACAAUGGUCGGGACAGAGGGUCGCCAACCCGCGAGGGGGAGCCAAUCCCAGAAACCCGAUCGUAGUCCGGAUCGCAGUCUGCAACUCGACUGCGUGAAGUCGGAAUCGCUAGUAAUCGCGGAUCAGCAUGUCGCGGUGAAUACGUUCCCGGGUCUUGUACACACCGCCCGUCACACCAUGGGAGUGGGUUUUACCAGAAGUAGUUAGCCUAACCGCAAGGGGGGCGAUUACCACGGUAGGAUUCAUGACUGGGGUGAAGUCGUAACAAGGUAACC